UUCCGCCGAUGGCCCCAGUUACGCCACGCUAUUUUUGAUUCGGUCUUUUUCAAAUCAAGCCGUCAUUGAGUGCAGAUGCACUUACUCUCUAUUCCAAUAAAAUUGGUAACAUCACACGUGUAGCUCAGAACGCCAAAACCACCAGAGCUGCAGAGAAGCAGCCAAAUCGGAGAAGCAUACGCCAGAGGAGCACCCUGCCGCAUCUGAGAAGCAUCCGCCAGAGGAGCGCCCUGUCGAGGAGCGCGCACCGGAGUAGCCCCGCCGUAAGAGGAAGUCCUGCCGGAGGAGCAGUCACAUCGGAGAAGCACCCGCCGGAGAAGUGCCCAAGAGACCGCUGACUGAGGCGCGCGCAUCGCUCGUUCGCUUAGCCGUCAGAGGAGCCGUUUAGAUUCCCCGGUUGGCGUCUUCAUUGCGUGAGCCACUGGGGCUUGACCCAUUGGUGCCAGGGACGUUCGACUAGCCCCAGACAACUAGUGUAGAAGAGGAGCGACUUCCGACAGUUAACCAAUUGCACAAUACAGAAAAUUCUAGGCCAUAUUUUUUUUGUGAGAGAGAGAUAUUCGCGAUGUAAAAUGCCGGGAUGAUAAUCAGAAAAGUUUUCUUCCAAUCGUUUGCAAGGAAAGUGGAAGUAUUUUAACCCAUAGGGCGGUAUGAAAUGCCUGAUUUUUUUCAGCAUGAACGUUGAACGGAAGAUCGAUCUUUCGCCGAUGGAAAUCUGAAUUUUUUAAAGACCAUCGCGACGUGGACUCUUCUUGGAAAUUUCAUGCUGACGUCUCUAAGCCCAAAAAUAAAUAUUAUAUAGAAAACCAACCAACAUCUGAAUAUGUACAUAUCUACUUACAAAGCAACAGUUUUCAUUGAGGAAAAAAAUGGUAACUGAAAUGUAUUAAGUGUAACGCCCACAAAUGCCCAAAACGCUUGACGACAUAACCUUAUAUUGAAAUACCUGCUGAGUAACGGGUAUCUGAUAGUCGAGGGACUCGACUUUUUUAUUGUCUACAACCAGGGACUGAAGAGAACCGGUACCGGUACCGAAACCGGAACCCUUUCCUUUUUACGGAACCGGAAUCGAAACGAAACCGAAAUUUUAAUUUUCGAUGGAACCGGGACUGGAACCGGAACCGAUUAUUUGGCAUACUGUGGAACCGAAACCGGAUCCGAAACCGAUAUUCUUUUUUUGAGAAUGAGUCUCGGAUUGCGUUGUGGCGUUGUGGCUCUGUGACUUGUUGAUAUGUAAUUGAAACACGAAUAAAUGCGAAU
Molecule: long non-coding RNA, 1260 nt
Organism: Drosophila biarmipes
Lineage: Eukaryota; Metazoa; Arthropoda; Insecta; Diptera; Drosophilidae
Exons: 4
Source: RefSeq, a predicted model, not a curated record